GAGUUUGAUCGUGGCUCAGGAUGAACGCUGGCGGCGUGCCUAAUACAUGCAAGUCGAGCGAACAGACGAGGAGCUUGCUCCUCUGACGUUAGCGGCGGACGGGUGAGUAACACGUGGAUAACCUACCUAUAAGACUGGGAUAACUUCGGGAAACCGGAGCUAAUACCGAAUAAUAUAUUGAACCGCAUGGUUCAAUAGUGAAAAACGGUUUUGCUGUCACUUAUAGAUGGAUCCGCGCCGCAUUAGCUAGUUGGUAGGGUAACGGCUUACCAAGGCGACGAUGCGUAGCCGACCUGAGAGGGUGAUCGGCCACACUGGAACUGAGACACGGUCCAGACUCCUACGGGAGGCAGCAGUAGGGAAUCUUCCGCAAUGGGCGAAAGCCUGACGGAGCAACGCCGCGUGAGUGAUGAAGGUCUUCGGAUCGUAAAACUCUGUUAUUAGGGAAGAACGAAAUGUGUAAGUAACUAUGCACGUCUUGACGGUACCUAAUCAGAAAGCCACGGCUAACUACGUGCCAGCCG
Molecule: ribosomal RNA, 524 nt
Filed under: uncultured microorganism
Description: bacterial SSU rRNA
Rfam family: Bacterial small subunit ribosomal RNA
Source: RNAcentral